Molecule: ribosomal RNA, 497 nt
Filed under: uncultured bacterium
Lineage: Bacteria
Description: partial 16S ribosomal RNA
Rfam family: Bacterial small subunit ribosomal RNA
Source: RNAcentral
GACGAACGCUGGCGGCGUGCCUAAUACAUGCAAGUUGAGCGAUGAAGAUUGGUGCUUGCACCAAUUUGAAGAGCAGCGAACGGGUGAGUAACGCGUGGGGAAUCUGCCUUUGAGCGGGGGACAACAUUUGGAAACGAAUGCUAAUACCGCAUAACAACUUUAAACAUAAGUUUUAAGUUUGAAAGAUGCAAUUGCAUCACUCAAAGAUGAUCCCGCGUUGUAUUAGCUAGUUGGUGAGGUAAAGGCUCACCAAGGCGAUGAUACAUAGCCGACCUGAGAGGGUGAUCGGCCAAAUUGGGACUGAGACACGGCCCAAACGCCUACGGGAGGCAGCAGUAGGGAAUCUUCGGCAAUGGACGAAAGUCUGACCGAGCAACGCCGCGUGAGUGAAGAAGGUUUUCGGAUCGUAAAACUCUGUUGGUAGAGAAGAACGUUGGUGAGAGUGGAAAGCUCAUCAAGUGACGGUAACUACCCAGAAAGGGACGGCUAACUACGUG